CCUACGGGCGGCAGCAGUGGGGAAUAUUGGGCAAUGGGCGCAAGCCUGACCCAGCAACGCCGCGUGAAGGAAGAAGGCUUUCGGGUUGUAAACUUCUUUUCUCAGGGACGAAGAAAGUGACGGUACCUGAGGAAUAAGCCACGGCUAACUACGUGCCAGCCGCCGCGGUAAUACGUAGGUGGCAAGCGUUAUCCGGAUUUAUUGGGUGGAAAGGGCGUGUAGGCGGGAGCGCAAGUCAGAUGUGAAAACUCAGGGCUCAACCCUGAGCCUGCAUUUGAAACUGUGUUUCUUGAGUGCUGGUGAGGCAAUCGGAAUGCCAGGUGUAGGAGUGAAAUCCGUAGAUAUCUGGAGGAACAUCAGUGGCGAAGGCGACUAUCUGGCACAUAACUGACGCUGAGGAGCGAAAGCGUGGGUAGCAAACAGGAUUAGAUACCCCGGUAGUC
RNAcentral lists this ribosomal RNA (443 nucleotides) under uncultured bacterium. RNAcentral's name for it is "partial 16S ribosomal RNA". It matches the Rfam family "Bacterial small subunit ribosomal RNA", at positions 338 to 795 of the family's 1533-position model. The record is from RNAcentral.